AAGCAAUCUGUAAUAUUUUACCGCCAAAAUGACUGAAAAAUACUUAUUAUUACAAAAGAGCAAAUGCAGAGGAAUCUUCUUCCUAAUUAGCAUCAACGCAAAAGAGUUUAUAGAAAAGGAUAAUACUAAUGAAAAUUCAAAGGAUUUUAACAUUUAAUGCCAUUUCGUAUAUAGGUUUAAUAACCUGCUGCAAAACAAAAAAAUGUAUCUCCCUCCAGCUCUCCAAUUUCCGUGAUAUAACGCAAAAGCAGCUGCACCACAGCGUUAUAUACAAAACAAGUUUUUUUUUAAUUUAAAGUCAGAGCCACAUUCAAGUAAUCAAACCCUGAAUCUCUCGAUAUUACAUCGAGGAAAAAUGUGCAUCCAACUACGCCUUAGAAAGCAAAUCCAGCUCGUAUGUACGCGAGCUACGUUGGCAACAACAACAGCGACUGCGAAGUAAAACCUUGAAGUAGAAGAGCAAUAUAGGUUGCCAGCUAAACACGCAAACUAUGGGCGCCGACAUCUUGCCUAAACGUGAGACUCACCAACAGGCUGUAGAUGAGAUUUAAGGUAUACUAUACCAUUGUCGGAUAUAGUUAUAGAUACAACGGACUCAAGAGUUAUGCAUUGCUGUUGCUGCCGCUGUUGAUGGCAUUUUCCCCUGAGCCAACGCCACCAUCUCAUGGAGAAUGAGUACGCAUUUGUGCCAUGGGAGGGAAAAAGAAAAAGUUUUUAGCACCAGCAGCCUUUUGUUUGUGUGUCAAAGGAGCAAGAGCUACACAUUAAAGAAUAUUGGUAGUAGAAGAUGUUGAUGAUAAUGAUGUUUUAAAUGUUGACCGGCGUUGGAGGAGGAAUGAGUAUAAGUAUAUAUACGAAAAAAGAUCCUUUGUCGAGCUGCUUGUAAAAAUCACUAAUGGAAUGAUAUAUGAUGAUGGAUGGUUUUUGGGCACAAAAACACAUAGUACACCCUGAAAAAUAAUGUUGCUGAUAUCAGCAAACUAUAGCUGUGUUCGGAAGUCAAAAAUUUGUGCAAAUUUGCAGAAAUUUUUACUGGAAGUCGUUCGCGUACUUUAUUUGCAGCAGAAGAGAGCGUAAGAGAGAGUAUAUUUUGACAGUUUAAAAAUAGAGAACUACAAAUUUGUACUGGAACUUUUUUUGCAAACAGAAAUUUGCAACUUUGAACAGAUGUUUUGUAAAGAUCAGCUGUUUUAAGAAAAACAGCCGUUACAUGAAAAUACAAAAGAACGCCAAAAUAGAUCAAAAAGGCGGAGCUUCAUGACAGCAGCUAGUGUUCAGGUACAGAAAACUCGACAAAAGAAGUUGUAAUUUCAACUCAAGUCGGUUGUUCUACAUUAGAAGACACUAAGAAAAGAGCAAUUAUCGGCUUCUUAAGUGUUUUGAUAGAAUUAUCCUCAUCGGAGAGCUACGAUGAAACCAACACCGUUCCUUUUGUUAAGGAGGGAAGAUGCUGCCAUGGAAUUGUGUGGGUCUAGCUGGGCCGUUAAACAAGUGACGCACAGUGGGAUUAGAAAAAAUAUUGCAAAUUGGUCUGCCAAUUGUGAACGGAUACAUAUAUCUUCAAUGAUAACAAAGUGUCCGUAGUCGCCACAUCAGUGGUCAUAGCAAUUUAUCUAGCUACAAUGUCCAAAGCAUUAGAUGGUUAGUCCAAGGUAUCUUUGUCCGCACAAGUGUACUUUUGUAUACGGUGAUGGCAUGUCAAGCAGUUGUAGUCCUAUGCAGCCAAAACAAAAAUCAGCUGUUUUUCUGCAAAUUUUCUCUCUCUUUUUUCUUUUUUCGCUCUUACUCUCCUACAAAUUUUUACUGGGAAAAGUUCUCGAACAGACCUAAUGUCUGCUGUUUAUUUAUUAAAAAUUGUUAACCCUUCAUUGUUAAGACAUUUCCCAUCCAUUUAUGUAAUAUAUUGUGAAUUUUAGCCCGUAAUUUUGUUGUUUAAGAGCUGAAAUAUGAUUUAUGUAGAUAUUU
Molecule: long non-coding RNA, 1965 nt
Organism: Stomoxys calcitrans (stable fly)
Lineage: Eukaryota; Metazoa; Arthropoda; Insecta; Diptera; Muscidae
Exons: 4
Source: RefSeq, a predicted model, not a curated record